UACGUAGGGUGCGAGCGUUAAUCGGAAUUACUGGGCGUAAAGCGUGCGCAGGCGGUCUCGUAAGACAGGUGUGAAAUCCCCGGGCUCAACCUGGGAACUGCGCUUGUGACUGCGAGGCUAGAGUGCGGAAGAGGGAGGUGGAAUUCCCCGUGUAGCAGUGAAAUGCGUAGAGAUGUGGAGGAACACCGAUGGCGAAGGCAGCCUCCUGGGCCAGCACUGACGCUCAUGCAAGAAAGCGUGGGGAGCAAACGGG
Molecule: ribosomal RNA, 253 nt
Filed under: uncultured bacterium
Lineage: Bacteria
Description: partial 16S ribosomal RNA
Rfam family: Bacterial small subunit ribosomal RNA
Source: RNAcentral